AGAUUGAACGCUGGCGGAAUGCCUUACACAUGCAAGUCGAACGGCAGCACGGGAGCAAUCCUGGUGGCGAGUGGCGAACGGGUGAGUAAUACAUCGGAACGUGCCCAAUCGUGGGGGAUAAUGUAGCGAAAGCUACGCUAAUACCGCAUACGAUCUACGGAUGAAAGCAGGGGAUCGCAAGACCUUGCGCGAAUGGAGCGGCCGAUGGCAGA
Molecule: ribosomal RNA, 212 nt
Filed under: uncultured soil bacterium
Lineage: Bacteria
Description: partial 16S ribosomal RNA
Rfam family: Bacterial small subunit ribosomal RNA
Source: RNAcentral